This 440-nucleotide ribosomal RNA is filed under the name uncultured bacterium. Its description in RNAcentral is "partial 16S ribosomal RNA". It matches the Rfam family "Bacterial small subunit ribosomal RNA", at positions 338 to 795 of the family's 1533-position model. The record is from RNAcentral.
CCUACGGGUGGCAGCAGUGGGGAAUAUUGCACAAUGGGGGAAACCCUGAUGCAGCGACGCCGCGUGCGUGAAGACGUAAUUCGUUAUGUAAAGCUCUAUCAGCAGGGAAGAAAAUGACGGUACCUGAGUAAGAAGCCCUGGCUAACUACGUGCCAGCAGCCGCGUUAUUACGUAGGGGGCAAGCGUUAUCCGGAUUUACUGGGUGUAAAGGGAGCGUAGACGGCAGUGUAAGUCUGGAGUGAAAGGCGGGGGCUCAACCCCCGGACUGCUGUGGAAACUGGACGGCUGGAGUGCAGAAGGGGUAGGUGGAAUUCAUGGUGUAGCGGUGAAAUGCGUAGAUAUUAGGAGGAACACCAGUGGCGAAGGCGGCUGACUGGACUGUAACUGACGUUGAGGCUCGAAAGCGUGGGGAGCAAACAGGAUUAGAUACCCGAGUAGUC